Molecule: microRNA precursor, 194 nt
Filed under: Oryza brachyantha (malo sina)
Lineage: Eukaryota; Viridiplantae; Streptophyta; Magnoliopsida; Poales; Poaceae
Description: MIR812 microRNA precursor family
Rfam family: MIR812 microRNA precursor family
Source: Rfam by way of RNAcentral
UUUCAGUUUUUGGAUAUAAUAUUUUGACUCUUCGUCUUAUUUAAAUUUUUUUUAUGAUUAAUAUUUUUAUUGUUGCUGAAUGAUAAAACAUGAAUAGUACUUUAUAUAUGACUAAUUUUUUAAAGUUUUUUAACAAUUUUUAAAUAAGACGAAUGGUCAAACUUUAGACACAAAAAUCGAAAAAUGAAGUUAUU